This 139-nucleotide ribosomal RNA is filed under the name uncultured eukaryote. RNAcentral describes it as "partial 18S ribosomal RNA". It matches the Rfam family "Eukaryotic small subunit ribosomal RNA", at positions 1299 to 1458 of the family's 1831-position model. The record is from RNAcentral.
UGGUGGAGUGAUUUGUCUGGUUAAUUCCGUUAACGAACGAGACCUCGACCUGCUAAAUAGUGGAGCGAAUUCUCGAAUUCGUCUCAACUUCUUAGAGGGACUUUACCUGUAUAGGGUAAGGAGGUUCGAGGCAAUAACA